ACAUCUUUCUCUGAUCAGAAUCAUGUAGUUGGGGAGAUUGCAGAAGUACACUGCCGUGGUAGUUGGGACUCGAGAUCUUGUAAGUAAUUACAACAUCACUACUUGACCAGUUAAAGACGUCUGCUUCAUAGAACCAGCCCAACUUUUCACCUUCGUCUUCUAGUUCCUUGAGAGGGUGACUGAUAGCCUUACACGAAACCUCAGCUUGCGGACCACAGUUAACAUUAAACUGUAUCUUUUCUUUCUUAGAUAUCUUCUUUCCAACUGGAGUCACGUACACCGGGAAACUAUAGGGGAUGCUCAAGG
This 306-nucleotide unclassified non-coding RNA is filed under the name Hevea brasiliensis (rubber tree). Lineage: Eukaryota; Viridiplantae; Streptophyta; Magnoliopsida; Malpighiales; Euphorbiaceae. The record is from RNAcentral.